Non-coding RNA from Heterocephalus glaber (naked mole-rat), 2781 nucleotides. Lineage: Eukaryota; Metazoa; Chordata; Mammalia; Rodentia; Bathyergidae. The record is from RefSeq and is a predicted model, not a curated record.
CAAGCCACUUCCGGCAGGGGGCGGGACCGCUGGGCUUAUUAGCAUCCGGCGCCGCGCGCCCCCUGCUGGCCGCGGAGAGUCCAAGCCAGCGGAAGCUGCGGGCUGCAGAAACUGGAGAACAGCUCUGCAGGUCUGAAGCCUGAAAUGUCAGCUGGGCUGGUUCCUUCUGGAGGCUCUGGGAGAAUCUGUCUACCUUUUCCAGCUUCGAGAGGCUGCCUGUAUUCCUUGGUUGGUGGCCCUGUCUACCAUCAAGAUCAGUAGUAGCAACAUGCAAGCCAGGGAUGGUAGUGAACGCCUGUAAUCCCAGCACGCAGGAGGCUCAGACAGGAGGAUCCCUGUGAACUGGAAGCCAGCCUGGGCCACACAGUGAGACCGUCUCAAACUAACCAACCAGCCAACCAACCAGUCAACUAGCCAACCAAAACAAGUACAACCGGCAGAGAGCCAUCACUUCUUUCUACUUAGGGUACACACGGAACAAGUAAUAUAUUCAUCUUCCAAAGAUAGUGUCAGGUUGCUCUACAGAGGAAAUAAAUUCUCCUUGGAAUAAGUGAUCUGGAAACCGGGAUCUAUAACACAGACUCCACCGACCAGAGAGUGGUAUAAAUACAAUCAUAAAGCGACAACAGAGCAACGGAGAACAAAAAUGAAGUGUGGUGUUCUCUAUCAGAUGCUUAUGGAGCAUUUGAACCCUGCAAGACUGGUGAGGUGAGGGGUGAUACAGUGUGCUAGCUGAGAGUAACUUCUUGCAUACCUGACCCAGAAGGGGUACAGUGCUCUUCAGCCUGGAGGAAGAAGCGAAGGCGAACGGAGUCUGGGAAUGGUACACCACGUAAAGAAAAGCAGAAAUGAAGGGAGCAACAAUGUCUUCAACAGACAGAUCUGCAAAGAACUCUGAAGCCAGGCAUCUUGUGCAACCUUGGAGCAAAGAUGAUGAGAUCACACAACUGCUGCAGUGCCUCUGGCAGGGCACCACCAGUGUCUGGCAUACUACCCGACUUAAUGAACAUGUGAAUGAAUGCAUGAGAACCGGAAAUGUACACAGGUCCACCUUUAAGCACCAUGGCCAUCUUCCCCAGAGUUGUGGGACGAAUUCCGUUCGUGAACCGAGCCGCCACCGUACACCCAUGAAACCAUCACCGGUCAAGGCAGUGAACAGCAGCCCCCCAAAUUUUCUUGUGCCUCUUUCUUACUCCCCUUCCACUCUUCUCAGCCCCUACCUCCUCCCUCCCAGCCCUUGGCUGUGAAGCAGCCCCUGAUCCACUUCCUGUCAUGACAGAUUUGUUUUCUAGGGUUUAUAUGAACGUGAACAUAACUUUGUGUUCUUUUUUGACUGGCUUCUUCUAUUCAGUGUGAUUAUUUUGAUACUGGACCGUAUUUUUCUUUUUAAACUGCACAGCAACAUUUAUUGUUUCAGCCUAGACUGAAUGGUACUUUUGCAUCUAUAAAUGCUACUCCCUCUUUUCUCCUAAGUAGUACUUUAUUGUAUGGAUAUAUCACAAGUUGUUUAUCUGUUUGCCUGCUGAAGGAUAUUUGGGUUGUUUCCCGUUUGAGGCUAUUUAUUAUGAGUCAUGUGGCUGAGCACAUCACUGUGCCUGUCUCUGUGUGGACAGGUUUUCAUUUCUCUCAAGUAAAUGCUGAGGUGUGGGAUGGCUGAGUCUAUGGUAGACAUACAUUUUAACUUCUAAAGAAACUUCCAGUUUCUUUCUAAAGUGACUUCCAAAGUGGCUGUAGCAUUCUGCAUUCCCAAGAGCAGUGUGACAGUUCCACGGUAAAAGGUGACAUUCUUCUUCUCCCUCCGCUCAUGCUCCCUAGGCCAACCAUUAACAGAGUGGUUAACAUAGUUAAUAGAACGGUCCGUGUCCUUCCAGACUGCCACACCAGGCUUCUUAGCCCUGGCACCACUGAUAUUUUGGUUUGUUAGUUUUCUGUUGUGGGCGGUGGUCCUGGAUGUCAACGAGCGCCCCUGACUUCUACCCAGUAGAAAUGAGUAGCACCCCCACUUCCUCAGUGUGACAACCAAAACGGUCUCUAGACCUUACCAUCUGUCCUGGGAGACAAAAUGAUCCUGGUUGAGAACACUGGACAUUGCACACAUGGACAUUAAAUGCAUUAUACAGUUUCUUUCUUUUUUUUUUUUUUGAGGUAAGGUCUUGCUAUGCAGUUCAGGCUGGCCUUGAACUCGCUGCAAUUCUCCUGCCUCAGCCUCCCAAGUGCCAGGAUUAUAGGCGUGUGCCACUAUACCUGCCUCAGUUUCUUUCAGUGUUGUACACAAGGAAUAUUUUGUUAUGGAUGAAUCAGUCAUCAACACAUACCUGUUUUCAACUUGUUUAUUUUUAUUUUUUUCAGUACCAGGGAUUGAACUCAGGACCUUGCGCUUGCGAGGCAGGCACAGCACCACUGAGCUAAAUCCCCAUCCCUCAACUCAUUUAUUUUUAAAACAAUGAUACAGUUAAUUUACUUAUGUAUAAACAUUACACAAUUAUAUAAAUAUUUAUAAAUUUAAUUUUAGUAAUAUAUACCUUUUUAUUCUAAAUUAUUUUUUUGGUGUAAAUUUCAGAAACAGGUUUUUUUAGGUCAAAAAGUAUUUUUAUUUAAAAACAAAUGAGGAAAGCCAGGGAUAAUGGGAUACAUAGUGAUUUUCAGGCCAGCCCAGAACAUAGGGAGACCUUGUUUCAAAAGAAAAAUAAGGCACAUGUCUGUAAUCUCAUCACUCAGGAGGCUGAGGCAGGAGGAUUGCUGUGAGUUUGAGGUCAGUCUGGGGUACAUUGUGAGUUCAAG